Molecule: long non-coding RNA, 1495 nt
Organism: Halichondria panicea
Lineage: Eukaryota; Metazoa; Porifera; Demospongiae; Suberitida; Halichondriidae
Exons: 2
Source: RefSeq, a predicted model, not a curated record
AGAGGAGGUCGACAUAGGUUGACCUUUUUGCUAAUGAGUUACUCCCGUAUUGCAUUCCUGCAGCAUGACAGGAUGUCACGCCCACAUUUACCUAGAGGAGGUGUGGCCUUUCGUCAUAAUUUAUCAUCAAGUUUCACGGAGGAAUUGUGAGUGUACGGAGAAAGAAGAGAAUAUACGGAGCACAACACCAAAACUUGCUCUCCUGCUAGCUAAAAGACUACAAACGAUCAUAGUACUCCACAGUAGUUAUAAAUAAUGCCUAGCUAUAUCCUGUGACAUAAGAAAAUGAAUAGCAUAGUCAUUGUUGAAGAAAUAAGCUAUAAACUUACAGUGUAAGAGUUUGUUGCGCUUUCUAUGGCUCCUGUGUUAAUGUAACACUUAUAGUAGAUACUAAGAUUGAUAAACUAGUAGAAAAUGCCUCUUGGAGAGACUCCAGAAGAGAUAAACACAAAGAACAGUAAAAUAGCGCUGACGGUGCAUAAAAUACCUGCUGAGUCAACACAAAUAUCAUGUGGGCGUGACAUCCUGUCAUGCUGCAGGAAUGCAAUACGGGAGUAACGCAUUAGCUAAAGGUCAACCUAUGUCGUCCUCUGUCAAUGAGGUAGUAGUCUGGGGGCCAGACCUAAUAGCUCGGGGGCAAAAUCAAGAGAGCUAGGAUUAGGUCUGGAGACUCUUGCAGCAUUUCUGUGUGCUCUAGCGGAAUGUGGCCAGAGCCAAUGAAAUGCAUAUCCUAUGUCAUGUGAUUUUUUAACCCAAUGAAAUGCGAGAUUGCCUUUGUGGAAUUUGGAUUACAGCCAAUGGAAUGAGAGUAUUGCUACAUCUACUCCUUCUUUAUAACCUCCAAUAUCACAGUCUCCUCCCUAUUGACAUUCCAAGAGCACACGGAAGUGCAAGAGUCUCCAGACCUUCUUUCUCUCUUCCCCCCCCCCCUCUGAGAAAAAGGUCUGGCCCCCAGACUAAUGAGGUAGCUAAAGCAGAAAGCGCGAGUUGGACGGGAAACUACAGUCUCAAUUUGGAGUGGCCUAAUGAAAAAGUAUACCGUAUAGCGGGGCGAGGAACUGGAACAGUAAUUGUUGGAUUGUGACGACCACACCCGAGGCUGGGUCGACCUCGCCCACAUGCAGGAGAAAGGCGUUAUCGACAAGACUUGACAAAAUUAACACCGGCACAACAUUAUUUUUAUACUGCAUGGGGAAUUUUUGACUCUAAUACUCUUUCGUAUAAUAAUUAUAGUCACAAUUAUAAUUAUGAAAACCUAUCUUUGUUGCACACUUUUAUUUUACUGAUCUAUAGCUAUAUGCUACAAUAUAAGAAGAAAAGAGUUAAUUAUACAGCUCUAAUUAAUUUUAUCACCAUUGUCAUUGUCUGCUUUACUUAAUUACUGGUGAACCUAUGUUUCGAUACUGCAGUACAAUUAGUACCAAUAGGAAUGGUACGUUGAGUACCACAGUUAUUAUCGUUGUUAGAAAUAAUCGUUUCUUCAUUACUUCGUAGG